Molecule: ribosomal RNA, 838 nt
Filed under: Microsporidium sp. 505
Lineage: Eukaryota; Fungi; Microsporidia
Description: SSU rRNA
Rfam family: Microsporidia small subunit ribosomal RNA
Source: RNAcentral
CUAAGCGCUCUAACCUCGGCAUCAACUAACUUUGGGAAACUAAGGCUAAAAGCUGAGGAUGAGGCUUAGCACUAUCAGCUAGUAGGUAGUGUAAUGGACUACCUAGGCGGUGACGGUUAACGGGAUACAAGAGUGUGAUACCGGAAAGGGAGCCUGAGAAACAGCUCCUACAUCCAAGGAUGGCAGCAGGCGCGAAAAUUGUCCACUCUUUGCAGGAAACAGUUAUGAAAAGUAAAAAAGGUAGGUCUUGUAAAGAAAGAUUCUAAAAUUGGAGGGCAAGUUUGGUGCCAGCAGCCGCGGUAAUACCAACUCCAAAAGUGUGUAUGAAAGUUGUUGCAGUUAAAAGGUCCGUAGUCGUUCAUGGAAAUAAGGCUUUGGCCUGCAUUUAAUGUGGAGGGGCUGAUGGGGACCAUAGUAUACAGGGGCGAGAGAUGAAAUGUCUAAACCCUCUGUGGACUCAGCGAGGCGAAAGCGGUGGUCUAGUAAGUACUCGGUGAUCAAGGACAAAGGGUAGAGGAGCGAAAGUGAUUAGAUACCGCUGUAGUUUUACCAGUAAAAGAUGCCGACUAUCCUGGCGUGUGCGGGCGCAAGCAAUGCGCAGGCUGGAAAUAGAGAAAUCGAUAAGUGUUCGGGCUCUGGGGAUAGUAUGCUCGCAAGAGUGAAAAUUAAAGAAAUUGACGGAGCUACACCACAAGGAGUGGAUUGUGCGGCUUAAUUUGACUCAACGCGAGGAAACUUACCAGGCCCUUUUGCACCUAAGAUACAAGGUGCGAAGGAAUGGUGCAUGGUCGUUGGAAAUUCAUGAGAUGACUUUGAGCUUAAAUGCUUGAAUGAAUGA